ACCAUGCAGUCGAGCGGUAGAGAGAAGCUUGCUUCUCUUGAGAGCGGCGGACGGGUGAGUAAUGCCUAAGAAUCUGCCUGGUAGUGGGGGAUAACGUUCGGAAACGGACGCUAAUACCGCAUACGUCCUACGGGAGAAAGCAGGGGACCUUCGGGCCUUGCGCUAUCAGAUGAGCCUAGGUCGGAUUACCUAGUUGGUGGGGUAAUGGCUCACCAAGGCGACGAUCCGUAACUGGUCUGAGAGGAUGAUCAGUCACACUGGAACUGAGACACGGUCCAGACUCCUACGGGAGGCAGCAGUGGGGAAUAUUGGACAAUGGGCGAAAGCCUGAUCCAGCCAUGCCGCGUGUGUGAAGAAGGUCUUCGGAUUGUAAAGCACUUUAAGUUGGGAGGAAGGGUUGUAGAUUAAUACUCUGCAAUUUUGACGUUACCAACAGAAUAAGCACCGGCUAACUCUGUGCCAGCAGCCGCGGUAAUACAAAGGGUGCAAGCGUUAAUCGGAAUUACUGGGCGUAAAGCGCGCGUAGGUGGUUAGUUAAGUUGGAUGUGAAAUCCCCGGGCUCAACCUGGGAACUGCAUUCAAAACUGACUGACUAGAGUAUGGUAGAGGGUGGUGGAAUUUCCUGUGUAGCGGUGAAAUGCGUAGAUAUAGGAAGGAACACCAGUGGCGAAGCGACCACCUGGACUG
This 687-nucleotide ribosomal RNA is filed under the name Pseudomonas sp. Y4_384_1. RNAcentral's name for it is "bacterial SSU rRNA". It matches the Rfam family "Bacterial small subunit ribosomal RNA", at positions 53 to 736 of the family's 1533-position model. Lineage: Bacteria; Pseudomonadati; Pseudomonadota; Gammaproteobacteria; Pseudomonadales; Pseudomonadaceae. The record is from RNAcentral.